Elaeis guineensis (African oil palm) is the source of this 88-nucleotide small nucleolar RNA. RefSeq annotates it as small nucleolar RNA snoR27. NCBI's taxonomy places the organism in Eukaryota, Viridiplantae, Streptophyta, Magnoliopsida, Arecales, Arecaceae. The record is from RefSeq and is a predicted model, not a curated record.
UUAGGAUCAACGAUGCCUGUUGUCUGCUUUAUCUUUCUGUAACUUCAUUGACGGAAUUGAAGAUGCCACUGAUCUACUGAGAUCUGGU